GGCAGUAGGGCUCGUAGCAGUCGAGCGGAUGAGGGAGCUUGCUCCUUGAUUAGCGGCGGACGGGUGAGUAAUGCCUAGGAAUCUGCCUGGUAGUGGGGGACAACGUUUCGAAAGGAACGCUAAUACCGCAUACGUCCUACGGGAGAAAGCAGGGGACCUUCGGGCCUUGCGCUAUCAGAUGAGCCUAGGUCGGAUUAGCUAGUUGGUGGGGUAAUGGCUCACCAAGGCGACGAUCCGUAACUGGUCUGAGAGGAUGAUCAGUCACACUGGAACUGAGACACGGUCCAGACUCCUACGGGAGGCAGCAGUGGGGAAUAUUGGACAAUGGGCGAAAGCCUGAUCCAGCCAUGCCGCGUGUGUGAAGAAGGUCUUCGGAUUGUAAAGCACUUUAAGUUGGGAGGAAGGGCAGUAAGUUAAUACCUUGCUGUUUUGACGUUACCGACAGAAUAAGCACCGGCUAACUCUGUGCCAGCAGCCGCGGUAAUACAGAGGGUGCAAGCGUUAAUCGGAAUUACUGGGCGUAAAGCGCGCGUAGGUGGUUCGUUAAGUUGGAUGUGAAAGCCCCGGGCUCAACCUGGGAACUGCAUCCAAAACUGGCGAGCUAGAGUACGGUAGAGGGUGGUGGAAUUUCCUGUGUAGCGGUGAAAUGCGUAGAUAUAGGAAGGAACACCAGUGGCGAAGGCGACCACCUGGACUGAUACUGACACUGAGGUGCGAAAGCGUGGGGAGCAAACAGGAUUAGAUACCC
RNAcentral lists this ribosomal RNA (748 nucleotides) under Pseudomonas monteilii. Its description in RNAcentral is "bacterial SSU rRNA". It matches the Rfam family "Bacterial small subunit ribosomal RNA", at positions 38 to 787 of the family's 1533-position model. The record is from RNAcentral. Lineage: Bacteria; Pseudomonadati; Pseudomonadota; Gammaproteobacteria; Pseudomonadales; Pseudomonadaceae.